Molecule: long non-coding RNA, 761 nt
Filed under: Brassica napus (rape)
Lineage: Eukaryota; Viridiplantae; Streptophyta; Magnoliopsida; Brassicales; Brassicaceae
Description: long non-coding RNA (BNAP_LNC021792)
Source: RNAcentral
UCUUGAGUUGCGAACCCAGCUGCUACAUUCCAUGUGUCAAGCUCAACUCCUCAAUGACGUCGUGUUACUUCAUAUCUUGUUAUUCUUCGUGAACUUAUCAACAACACAACCUUGCAUUUAAAAUCACGAACCUUUUCAAGUGCUUAAACAUAAACCAGACCAUUCUUCUGCAAGUUGAUUUCCUCCUUAUCCUUUCGAUUCCACUCAUGUGCACUGAGCCUUAAACCAAAUUACCUGAAUUCUGUGCAGCUACCUCAAAAUCAUACAUGCUCCACACCGGAACAAUCCUUGAUUCGACUAUUUCUCUUGCUUAAACAUGUCAGCCUUGGACAUCUUCUUGUAUUGAUGUUACUUCGAACAAGAUCCGCCAUCCAACGAUCAUUGCUGGACAGACUUUCGACACAACCUUGGUUCACCAUUCUUGUUGUUAACAGAAAUUGCUAUCACAUAAUUCUCAUUGAAUCAACAACAAACCCUUGAAGUCACUCAUGCGCUAUAUCUCUGAAACAAUCUUUGACUUACCCUUGAUGUUCUUGAACCGAUUACACUUGAGCAUUACUUUGUAUCGCUACUAUCACAAGUAGGUCACGUCGCCUAAAACCACAUGAUUAAGAAGAUUUUUGACACAAAUAUCUUUGCUCCACCAUCUGAUCAACCUGAUCUGCAACAACAAAACCCCACUGCUAGUUAAAUGAACUGAGCCUCAUACCAUAUAAUCUAUGAUACGCCUUGGCUCUCCUCACGAGCUGCAUGUGAUAUCU